GACCCAAUAACCGUGCAUAACCCCUGAGAAAAGCCUCCCAUCCCUUCACCAUAGCUCCAAAUGCAUCGUUCGACAUUGCUAGCUGUAAUAAACGUGGAUAGUGCUCACAAUCAUGUCGAGACUCGAGAGACGAGCAGCUCUGGACACACAUUCAACAGUCGCACCUCUUGCCGACAGUCACCUACUGCAGGUCCUAAUCUGGUCGGGUUCACGUCUCUAACAGCCAGCAGCACAUCUCCACAAGCCAAAAACUUAUAUGUUUUAAUAAAGGGAUUCUAUGGUUUGGAUGAGCAAAUCUAUGAUAUUGAUAAAGGGAUUCUACGAAUCAAGGUAGUCUGGCUCUGUAUUCUUUACACUUGAGGCUACUGGAUUCCAUUACAGUUGCCUUGCAGAUAAAUAAUAAGGAAAAAAUUGCGGUUUUGUGUAAUGAACAACUACUAAGAGCAAUGUUUAACCUUGGACGGUGUCUAUCGGAAGAAUCCCCUAGAUGGAGAGAGCGUGAAGAUUUGUCUAUGUUCAAAGAUGUUGUCAAAGUUUGCCUUGAUUAUGAGCAAAAACCAGCUAAGAAAGAAGUAAAGCUAAAGCAGUCAAGGAACUCAGAUGAAGUAAAUGUGGAGAAGUAUUUGGGUUUAAGGAUAAAGUUGCAUUUAGACCUACUGCAAUUCAUGCUAUUUAUAUACUUUGAUUACUCUGUUUAUUGUUAAAAAGGUAAUUUGUGUUAGUUAACUUGUCUUCUAUUUAUAAUACUGAAAUUGCACUAGUAAGGAGUAGAAUAUGUGGAUUUACUUAAGGGUACUGCCGCACCAUUCUCUUGUAUAGUAUCCUGAGGCAUUUUUUGUAAUCCUAUUUGCAACUAGAUAAAAGAACAACUAAAUUACGGGGAAGAAAAAGAAACCUUAGAUUCA
Long non-coding RNA from Manihot esculenta (cassava), 905 nucleotides. RefSeq lists it as uncharacterized. The transcript has 2 exons. NCBI's taxonomy places the organism in Eukaryota, Viridiplantae, Streptophyta, Magnoliopsida, Malpighiales, Euphorbiaceae. The record is from RefSeq and is a predicted model, not a curated record.